AGAGCGGCAUUGUGAAAAAAUGCAGCACAAAGCGCGAGUUAGGGUUUUAUUUGUCAAAAACUCUCUUUCUCAAACGGCAACAAAGCUCUCUCUGGUUGGCCAUUUUGCUUUUGGUAUUCUGCUUGCAAAGCUCUCCUUGUUCCUAAUUGGGGUUUCAAUUAGUUCAAUAUCUGACCAAUGGUGAUGAACUUAAUAAAACCUGAAGCAGGAGGCACUGGAAUCAGGAGCUUGUGCAAUGUGGAAAGUGAUCAUAUUUCGAUGACCAAAUGUGUCAAAAGACGUCGAAGAUCUCCUUCACUUGCUCAAGUUGUUGAACCACAACAUAGUUAGCCACUUUUUCACGCAAACUGCUAAAUUCUUGAGGAAGGAAUUAUCACCCCAGAAAGAGGCUAGUAAUUCCAUUAAUGCCAUGGAAGCCUCAAAACCUGUAUAUCCAAGGCUCAUAAAAACAACUAUUAAACAAUUGAGCAUCGAGGAGACGAAAGAAAUAAGAAGACGAGGAUUAGCUGUUCCCACCUUGACAAGACUUGGUACAUAGACUCUGUGUUGUUCAUAUUGUUAUUAAUUCUAGCAGAGACUCAUAUACUUUUUGUUGAGAUGUAGCAAGGAAUGGCUACUAUUACAGUCUUGUAGCUACGGUCUGUGAUGCUUUUCUUGUGGAAGAGCUGAUUCGUGUAGACUGUAAAGGCCUUGAAAUGGGUAAUUAUGCCUUGCUCUUGUAUUGUACUUUUGUCUUAGUUUUAUUGCCUUUAUUCAUAUAUAUAUAACUAAUUAAUUCCAGUCUCCCCCCUCCUACCCUCAGAACCAUCUCUGUCGAUUUUUCGGUUUGGACCCUUUUGACUUUACAACACAAUGUAUCUUCCUAUUUUUUAUCUUCUUAAUUAUGGUUUCUGCUUGCUGGAGUAUCUCAAUAUGGUUUGUUAUGCACCAGUUAAGUUCUGUUCUAAGUCCAUUUAGACGUGUCUCUACAGUUUUGUUUCAUAAAAGUUUAACUAGUUCAUCAUUACUUGUUUUGCUUGGAUCAGGGGUUUUGAUAUGCAUUAGAAUGGUCAGGGAUUGUCCUUUGAUUAUUGUUCCUAUUUCAUGUCUUUUGCUCAAGAAUGUUAUAAUAAUUGUCCUUUGAUAUCUAAAAUACUUAUAAGAGCUUGUUGUACUCUGAUUAGACGAUUUGAGAUCACUGGUCAUUUGCUUUUGCUGGCCUUGUGCAAGAUUAUUGUUUAUGAUAACUUAUUUGCCAGUUGAUCCUAAUAAGUCAUCUGUGUACUGCACUUAGCCUCCUUCUUAGGUCAGGGUGUUUAAAGAACUAGCGGAGAAGAAUUCGAAUGACGAAGCCGCACACAAGGGAAGGUGAUCAGAAUUCAAAUGAGAAGUCAAGAAUUUGAAGAGAUGAGAAAGUAGAUGGAAGAAAUGAAGAGCUGACUUGCAAAUUAGAUAUUGUGUACGAGACAAGCUAGCUUUUUUAUAUGUUAUGUAUGAAGUAUGUGUGACCUAUGAAUUAUAACCUCGGAUGUUUGGAUAUUGCUUUUGCUUUUAAUUUAUGACUUUUUCUUUUA
Long non-coding RNA from Daucus carota subsp. sativus, 1553 nucleotides. RefSeq lists it as uncharacterized. Lineage: Eukaryota; Viridiplantae; Streptophyta; Magnoliopsida; Apiales; Apiaceae. The record is from RefSeq and is a predicted model, not a curated record. The transcript has 3 exons.